This 692-nucleotide ribosomal RNA is filed under the name uncultured Actinomycetales bacterium. RNAcentral describes it as "bacterial SSU rRNA". It matches the Rfam family "Bacterial small subunit ribosomal RNA", at positions 59 to 757 of the family's 1533-position model. The record is from RNAcentral. Lineage: Bacteria; Bacillati; Actinomycetota; Actinomycetes; Actinomycetales.
AAGUCGAACGGAAAGGCUCCUUGCUUGCAAGGGGUACUCGAGUGGCGAACGGGUGAGUAACACGUGGGUGAUCUGCCUUGCACUUCGGGAUAAGCCUGGGAAACUGGGUCUAAUACCGGAUAGGACCAUGCUUUAGUGUGUGUGGUGGAAAGUUUUUUCGGUGCAAGAUGAGCCCGCGGCCUAUCAGCUUGUUGGUGGGGUAAUGGCCUACCAAGGCGACGACGGGUAGCCGGCCUGAGAGGGUGUACGGCCACAUUGGGACUGAGACACGGCCCAGACUCCUACGGGAGGCAGCAGUGGGGAAUAUUGCACAAUGGGCGCAAGCCUGAUGCAGCGACGCCGCGUGGGGGAUGAAGGCCUUCGGGUUGUAAACUCCUUUCGCUAGGGAAGAAGCCGCUUGUGGUGACGGUACCUGGAUAAGAAGCACCGGCUAACUACGUGCCAGCAGCCGCGGUAAUACGUAGGGUGCGAGCGUUGUCCGGAAUUACUGGGCGUAAAGAGCUCGUAGGUGGUUUGUCGCGUCGUCUGUGAAAUCCCGGGGCUUAACUUCGGGCGUGCAGGCGAUACGGGCAUAACUAGAGUGCUGUAGGGGAGACUGGAAUUCCUGGUGUAGCGGUGAAAUGCGCAGAUAUCAGGAGGAACACCGAUGGCGAAGGCAGGUCUCUGGGCAGUUACUGACGCUGAGGAGCGAA